UGGAAUAUCUGCUCUUUACUGCACAUCGCUAUUUCUUGCUGGCACCAUCUGAUUAAAGGUGCAGCAUGAUGUAGUGGUGUGCAGUGGAGUAAAUAAACA
This is a non-coding RNA of Saccoglossus kowalevskii, 99 nucleotides long. The record is from RefSeq and is marked provisional. NCBI's taxonomy places the organism in Eukaryota, Metazoa, Hemichordata, Enteropneusta, Harrimaniidae.